RNAcentral lists this ribosomal RNA (253 nucleotides) under uncultured bacterium. RNAcentral describes it as "partial 16S ribosomal RNA". It matches the Rfam family "Bacterial small subunit ribosomal RNA", at positions 524 to 776 of the family's 1533-position model. The record is from RNAcentral.
UACGUAGGUGGCAAGCGUUGUCCGGAUUUACUGGGUGUAAAGGGCGUGCAGCCGGAGAGACAAGUCAGAUGUGAAAUCCACGGGCUCAACCCGUGAACUGCAUUUGAAACUGUUUCCCUUGAGUGUCGGAGAGGUAAUCGGAAUUCCUUGUGUAGCGGUGAAAUGCGUAGAUAUAAGGAAGAACACCAGUGGCGAAGGCGGAUUACUGGACGAUGACUGACGUUGAGGCUCGAAAGCGUGGGGAGCAAACAGG